RNAcentral lists this unclassified non-coding RNA (217 nucleotides) under Hevea brasiliensis (rubber tree). Lineage: Eukaryota; Viridiplantae; Streptophyta; Magnoliopsida; Malpighiales; Euphorbiaceae. The record is from RNAcentral.
UCAUCCUCAUCUACAUCUUCUGAGAGUUCAUCAAAGGAUCUUUCCACGCUCAUUUUCUUUACCCGUUUCUUUGCCUGUGUAGAACCUGCCUCAGAAUCAAUAAGCAAUCGCUGCAUGUUCUUUGCUCUUUCAGUAAAUAUUGCAUGCAGUUCCUCAAAGAAUGGGCAAUGCAGACCAUUCUCAGGAUCAGAUGUCUCCUUGCCCUUGUAACGAUUGA